Long non-coding RNA from Halichondria panicea, 392 nucleotides. RefSeq lists it as uncharacterized. The record is from RefSeq and is a predicted model, not a curated record. The transcript has 3 exons. Lineage: Eukaryota; Metazoa; Porifera; Demospongiae; Suberitida; Halichondriidae.
UACAGUAAGAAGAGUAUACCAUCGUGUAUACCUAAAUGUAGAUGAACUACUUUUUCACAACAUGUACACAGUGAUACUACAAGCCAACAAUUCAAAUUUUGUGGGUUUCAGAGGCUUCCUAAUUCAGGCAAGAAAUAUCAGGUUUCCUGACAAUGUUACCGGUAUUUUUAAUUCUUCAAAUACCAACGAGUAUGGUUUUCAAAAUUGCGAUUAAGCUCAGUACCCCCUAGGCAGUGCAGUUACCCAUGUGAAUGGGAGCAGUAAGAUGAACGUUACAUUUGAAUGGACAGCUCCCCCAAAAGGCUCGGGUCCAGUAUACUUUGUAUACACAGUGGUACAGUCAAUGCAAAUCUUUUGGGCUGAUUUGAGAACUCCUGAAAUAAAUGAACAUC